Long non-coding RNA from Melospiza melodia melodia, 4985 nucleotides. RefSeq lists it as uncharacterized. NCBI's taxonomy places the organism in Eukaryota, Metazoa, Chordata, Aves, Passeriformes, Passerellidae. The transcript has 6 exons. The record is from RefSeq and is a predicted model, not a curated record.
GCUCUCCUGUCUUGGCAUGUUCCUCCCUCUUUUGUGAGCUCUGGCUUCUGGAGGCUGCACAGGGGAUCAGGAGCACCCAGAAGAGCCAUUUCUGCCAUUCCCUCUCCUCUCUGCUACCCAGGCAUGCCUGACAGCUCUUCAAUGCUUGCAUAAGAGGAUUUCCCCAGAUGAGACCGCGUAGUGUACAGACAGGAAGCCGAAGUAUCGAGCGCCUGACCAGAGCUUCCUCCUGCUCAGGAGUGGGGGUUUCUCUGACUCCGGCCCUCAACUCUGCUGCAUGCUCUGAGCCUUGAAACCCAAAGGAUAAACAGCACCCAGGUGUCCCAGCUGAGCCCUGUGAGCACGGUGAAUGGAGUGUGCCCCUCCUGCAAGGUCAGCAAAGCAGGUCUCCCCUCUGCUGGGCUGCGUUACCUUCCUGGCUCCUUAUCAGCCCGGGAAUCAGAGAGGGACUUUCCAGAGCUGCGCACAUGUGAGCUGCAGAGAUGGAAUGAACCCAUAUGCAAAUCAGUUUUGAUUCCCUUCCCUUUAUAAAGUUAAAAUGUUUUUGAGAGAGAAUCAGAUCCUGCAGAGCAUGGGAGUCCGAGGAGGUUACCUUGGGCUGGCAGUGCCUCUGUCCCUGCUCUCUGUCCGUCUGUCUGCCUUUCCAUUGGAGACAACAAAGUGUAAAAUAGAAAACGAGAAAUGCAAACAUGUGCUGAUUGAAGAGGAGGAAGAAAAAUGGAAGAGAAAAAGCUGAAGAGUGGGAAAAAGAUAAAAUAAAAUGAAUUUUGGGAAUUCCACUCUCCUGGAAGAAGGCCAGGCACUGGAGAGAGCCAGCAGGAGAAUGAGCUACUGGGACAGCCUGAAAAUGAAUGUCAUUUAUUCUCAGCUUUGAGAACUGAAUUCCAUGGGUUGUAAUUGAAUCUGCUGUCAGACCCAUGGGGCUCAGUUCUUCAGCUUGGAUAUUUCUGUCUUCACAUACACAGGAGAUCAAAGAAGCACUUGAUCAUUCUCUGCCUCUUCUGGUGAUAGCAGCAAGCAGGAGAGGAAGCACGAGGGAUGUGAAUCAUUUCAGCAGGGAGGGGUCACUGCAAAGGCCUGGCUCUCUCAGGAUAAAUAGCUGUGCAGUGAUUGAAUCUCUUCUGAACUCAUGGGCUCUGUGGUGCUACCCACUGUUUGAUUAGCUUCAUUCUUUCCCCUCACUGUUAUCAAGGUUACAGCUGAGUCCCUGACAUGGUGUUGAUGAUGGAUGAUGAUGAUGAUGGGUGAUGGUCCCCAGGCCCUGCUGAGAGGUGCAUUCUCCUGUGGCCAGCUCUGGUGAGCUCCUUUAGGCUGUGGAACACCUGGACCUCCCUUGGGCUGAGCACUAAAUUUGCCAACUGAUAAUCCAAUAUACCCUGCUCUCUUGGUACCACUGCUGUGCACUUAUUGCCUCAUUUGCUUUGUCUGUGCCAAAUACCAUUUUUGACAGAAGCUGUGACCAUAAAGAUUAUUCAUUUGCACCAGCCAACCAGCUCACUUAUAGAAACACAGAUUUCCUUUCCUGGGGUUGGUGAUGUGCUCCCAAAGUGUUUGGUUUAGGGAGUUUCCAGUGUAAUUAGUGAUGGCAAUGUAAGUGCUGUUUGAAGGCUUGGUAGCACAAACAUCCCUCUGUGGGGGAAUUAAUUCAAGUCACAGGUUAAUGUUUUUUCUUGGAGGACUUAUGUUAAAAUUUUUCAUUUUUCAUUCCAGGGAUCAGGAAAAGUAAUUGUCAUCUUUAAGCAUGUGAAGAGUUACAAUUAGCAAUGAGCUUUCCACCUCUUUCCUGCAAUAAUAACACCUAAAUUACAUUUUUCCAACUCAGUAAAGUGGAUCAUAACUGAUCUUAUCCCUGUGUUACAAAGCUCUUAAAAGCAUAGAAAUGCUAAAACCCCACAGGUGCAGGAAAAGCAUGUUCAGCUAAGUAGCUUAAAACUGCUGUGUGCCUUUCAUUCUGAAUAUGUAUUUGCACACAAAAAAAAUCAGAUAUUAAUCACUGUUGCCUGUGGAUACAGAUGUACCUUCAUACUGAUGUACUUUUCAUAUAAAUUUUUGUCCUAGGGGUUGAAGAGUUUCAAUUGCAGCUGUGUGAGAUGUAUUGUGCUCACCAGUUUAGAGAUUACAAUUCCUGAAAGAGCGCCCUGGUUCCACAGCUCCUGCUGUGGGAAUAUCCAUUAAACAGGAUAGAGAAACCGAGCAAAGGAUGAUAUUGAAAUUUUUACUUUUUAUUUUCCUCUAUCAUCCCUGUCAGAAAGAGGAAAUGAAAUUUGAGGUCAGAGUUGGCAAAAUCUUCAAAAGAAGAGAGAUCAGUGGAACAACUGACAGCAUGCCUGAUGCAGGCAGUGUGGUGGAUGUUGGAUGCUGCAAAGCUUCGUCCUCUUCCUUCACUGUGCAGCCCAGCCUCGGGGCAGUGAUGCAGCACAGAAGUAACAAGGCCAUGGAUGAAACCAAGGAAUACAGAACUCUUGGGAGUCCCAUCUAUGUGAAAAACAAAAAUGUGGGCUCAUCCUCCAAGAUUCUCUUCUCCUUGCUUCAAGAUGAUGCUUGAAUCUGGUGGAAAAAAAAUCAAACCUCCUGUGCUGGAGGGCCUGAUGAACUGCUUGAAAAGCAAAAUGGGAGCAAACAGCAAAGCAGCACAGGGAGAGGAGCAGCGCAGAGAGAGGAGCUGCAGCAGCCCCUGGUCUGUAGGUGCUGCUGUGUUCCCUUUGCAGGAAAAUGCUGAGUUACGUUGGGUUCAGCAGUCCUGAUGUCUGCACAGCUGAGAGAAAUCACUUUGCUGUGAGUGUGAGUGUGGCUCUGCAGCUUUGACAAGCCUCACCUGCCCUGGGGAGGAAGGAGCAGCAGGGCUGGAGAGCUGUGGAGUCACAAUGUGCUGACUAAGGUCAGGAGCUUGAAGGCACUCACAAUCUGGUUUCCUGACAGCCCAGCCAUACAGCAGGCUGUGCUUUUUAAAUCUUCUGCUUCUUUCCUUGAAAAAAACCUCUACAUCAGAAAAGUUAAUGCCUAAAAAUAUACAGGAAGGCGUGACCCUCUGACAGGAUACCUGCACAGCACAGACUUCUCUGUUCAUUGGCAUCCCUCCCUCACUCUGCUGGGCUAGCCUCUUUUCACCCUGGCAAAGAGAAAUUUUUAUAGCUUACAUUAUAAAAGAUAUUUACUAGGUUGUUUUUCUGGUAGCCAUUAUUUUUUCUCACUUUCUGAUCACUUACUGCCAGUGUGGAGAGGGAUGUUGGGCAAAGCCAGCUGAACAGUCUUGUGCCAGGAUCUCACUGGGUGACUGAGAUGUGUCUGCCUACCAUGAAGUAUCUAACUUCUAAAAUUAAAAUGAGGGACUCUUCCAUCUUUUCUUAAAAAUUUGUGUUCUGUGCUAAAGAUAGUACUUAAACUGCCUCAGUACCUAUGAAUAAUGAAAUCAUGGAAUGGUGUGGUUUGGAAGGAAUCUGAAAAAUCAUCCAUUUCCAACCACCUGCCAUGGGCAGGGCCACCUUCCACUGGACCAGGAUGCUCCAAGCCCCAUUCCACCUGGCCUUGAAAACUUCCUUGAGCACUUGGAAUUAGUAAAAAUAUGUAAUUUGUUAGGAGAAUCUGCUAUGAUAGCUUUUUAACUUUCCUUUUUUAAACUUUCAUUUAAAGUUUUAUUCUAACUUUGUUCCCCUUUGUUUUUCUUUGUCUUUUACCCCAGAAUAAUUUUGGAGCAAACAAACAGUCAUUGGGAAAGGAGGCUGUUUCAUUUUAAGAUGCUAUGGAGGUACCUCUCAGAAACAGGUGGUAGAUAAAUGAAGCAAUGUGCAUAAAACCAGUAAUCACUGAGAUGGUUUCUUCAGAAUCAUAAUAGUGUUAUUAAUAACAAUCAUUAAUUUGUUGUUUAGAAAAUCACCCAGACCCAGCCAAGCAUUUCCCCCUUCCACAGACAGCAAUUCAAUUACUGUUUUGGUGGAGUUAAAUCUCUUGAUAUUCUGCUGAGAAAUUUUAUUCUUUAUUUAUUUUUGUUUUAUGGACACAGAGACAUACUUGCCUGAGGGCAAAAAAAGACUUUAUUUGAAGUUUUUUGUAGGACUUUUGCCACAGUUAACACUACAGGUUGAACGGAGGCUCUUGAUCUUGUCCAUAGAUUAGGCCACCCCAAACAGGUGCCCACAGUGCAGAAAUGUUUGUUUCCUGCUCACACUAUUGCACAGAAUGCUGCUCUGUUCAAGCCAGGGAGAGCUCCUACAGAAGAAGAAACAGCCUCCUGAUGCCCAGCAAGCUCUCAGCACCAUUGGAUUGGGGACCACCUCAAUCAGCCUCUCCUCAAAAACCUCCUGCCAGUGUUUUACAGCUUCCCUUGUUUUUCACAUUUCCUCCUUUCUGUGUUUCCCUGUACAGCUCAGGCAAGGAAGGGCUUUUCCUGGGAACACAAGUCUGUGGCUCUUGGGGCAUUUUUAACCCCACUGCUGCCAGACAAGCAGUUCACUCAGAAAGCCCUUCAGAGCAAGCAGAGGCUGCAGCACAUCCCUUGUGCCAGGGGACUUGUACCAGGCUGGGGCUCAGCAGGGGAAAUUUUUGUGUUUUCCAGCAUGAAAACAAAGCUCUUCUCUUGACUGAGAUCUCUGGCACUGCUGACAGCAUUUCCCGGGGUCCUGUCAACAACAGAGUGGUAUUUUCUCUAAAAGCCAGGACCCAUAGUAAAAGUUUCUAAGCUGUGUUUAUGAAAAUCUUGGUCAUUUGAUUAGGAGCUUGAAUUUGAUCAGAAUCCUUCCAGCUUCCCCACUUCAUCUUCCUUUCCAUAGGAUACUGCAGCUGCUCUGACGAAAACCAGUUAUUUAAAAAUUUGCUUGUAGCUAUGGCAACCUCCAUGCACUGUAUUUCAAUGGAAAACCUAAAACAGCAUCAGAAGUUUCUUAAUAGGAUAUUUAUGAAGAUUUUAGUCUUUGUACAUUUUAAAAUUGAAAUACACUAUUUUUAAAAGGGAGGGGUUAUCAAAAUCUCAUUAAUUUUGGAAAAUGCAU